This is a non-coding RNA of Cricetulus griseus (Chinese hamster), 70 nucleotides long. Lineage: Eukaryota; Metazoa; Chordata; Mammalia; Rodentia; Cricetidae. The record is from Rfam.
GGUGAUAUAGCUCAGUUGGUAGGGUACUUGCCUACCAUGCAUGUGGCCCUGGGUUCAAUCUCCAGCACUU